Molecule: long non-coding RNA, 2641 nt
Organism: Herpailurus yagouaroundi (jaguarundi)
Lineage: Eukaryota; Metazoa; Chordata; Mammalia; Carnivora; Felidae
Exons: 3
Source: RefSeq, a predicted model, not a curated record
GACCUACUGAAUCUGCCUUGUCAGAAGGUCUCCAAGUGAUGUACAUCAGGGUCUGAGAAGCACUGAGUUAUUCUACUUAUAAACAACGCUGCUGUGAACAUCUUCAUGCACAUAUAUUUUGCUUGUGGAUGGUUUGGUUACAUUCAAUUCCCAGAAGUGAGAUUAUGAGUUCAAAAGACGUACAGAUUUUUAUGCUUGCCAGAACUGCAGGACAGUUCUUUAAAGAACCAGAGGGGUGGGUGUAACUGAGUGCUAUAACCUGAAGACUGGUCCAGUUAGUGCCCUCUGUCAGCUGGUAGAUUGCAAUUGACCUGUUGGAGCCCUCUGCUGUUAAAAGUCCCACUAUUUAAAGAACAAGCCCCUGUUGCCCUCUGGAGGCAGAGCCAGAGAGGAAAACAACUUUCUGUUCCAUCUCGUUGCCCCUCAGACUCCCAGAGCUUCUUGCAGUGCCCAUCAGAUUGUAAGGCUGACAACUCCUAAAUAUUCCAGAUACAGGCCAGAAACCUCUUAAAUUUCAUGUCUAGGGAAUUCAUUCCUGACUCUCUGUGAGUCAUGAAGAAAAAGAAAUGCUUCUUUUGGGGGCUUUUAGGUUCACCUUCCAAGCCACAGUAAUUCUAGCUUUGUUCUGGCAUCCAUAACCUAAAGGAUCACUGUGCUGCUUCCCUGGUGGCUCCCAAAGUCUCUUUUCUUCCCCAGGAGCUGCAGAUAUUUUCUUUUACAGAUAAUAUCAGCCCUUUAGGGGGCUGCAGUUCCAGUUCUUAUGCCAUCCUCUUCGGGUUCCUACAUUCUCUCCAGACUUUUCUCUGCUCACCACCGCUGUCAUAUCUGACCUGCUUGUCUACUCCAGCAUCUUCAUUUUUUUAGUUGGCCUUUGGGUUGCUGUUUUUCUUGGGACAAUGUCACAUUCUGGGGCUUAUGAUAUGCUUUCCUGAUAGCGAUAUUGUCCAGAUCCUCAGUUUGUUUCUUAGUGUUCUUAAGCCUGCCCGUCAAAACAGCUACACAUCAGGCUGCUUAUCCGUGUAGAUGUCUGGGACUGGGUCUGGCGACUUCAUCCCUCUGGUUUCACCUUCACUUAAGGAUGAUCACAAAUGGACAUCUGGAUUUGUCUUAAGAUUACUGGGAUAUCAAUAUCCGUCCUGGCAGACUUAACUAGAUCACUAACAUGCCUUGACUGUUUCUUCUGAAGACAUUUCCUCAAUUAAAUUGCUCUCCCUUUUCCAGAAUGACAAAGCUUAAUGUUGUCUCACAGAAACGGAAGCGUGCUUUCCACCAAUUACUCUUCUUUGUGGUGUUCAACCUGUUUGUGUGUGUGUGAGAGAGAGAGAGUAUGAGAGAGAGAGAGGCUGACUUUUACCCAUAGUUCAUUUUGCUCUGUGAUAGGCCAAGUAGAGUAACUUGUCUUUAGGAUGGCUGCCAUCAAUUCCUUCCUGUAUGUACAAACCAUUCUCCCCAUGAGCAGUAGAAUCUAUGCUUCCAUUUCUUUGAAUUCAAGCCGAUUGGUGAAUGCUGUGACGAAUAGAAUACAGAAGUGAGGCUGAGUCAUGAGAAAGCUUAUAGCUUCUGCCUAGCUCUCUUGGAAUGCUCACUCUGGGGGAAUCCAGCCUCAAUGAUAGAAGAAAUCUGACUACCUCAAGACUACCAUGCUGUGAAGAAGCCCAAGGAAGCCCAAUGUAGCCACAUGGAGAAGCCACAUGGAUAGAGAUUAGAUAAACAGAGGUGCACAGAGCUCCGGUGUCUUGCCCACAUCCAGAUCUGGCUAGUGUUGAUGCCAGGACAAGAAUUCAGGUCUCCUGGCCCAGGCGCAGCUCCUUUCACUGUAUCACCUACCUCUCCAAUACUAAAGAAGCUCUGCGGAAAUCGGAGAAUGCUUCAGACAGAAGGCCAGAUGGAGGCUCAUGCAGGCCCUGUCCAAACCACCACUGGGCUAGGAACAGUGAAAAAUGGCCACGCUAUUCCUUCCUCACUUGGAUGAUGACAGGUGGGAUGCGAAUUACUUCUAUAAUAAAAACGUAAGUAAAAACUCUUGUCCAAAUGUCCCUAAGUCUUACUGGCUUGCGCAUAUAAAUCAAGUCACAUCAGUGUAGUUCCUUAGCCCCCUUCUUAAAGUCUGCCCACACCACUUGGGGGAGCCCUGCAUGGGUUAAUAUUUUGAUAUCAUUCCAUCUGAACAUAUAUGUGGUGUAUAUUGUUUUGUCAUCUCUUUUUGCACUUAGUGUACUGUAAACUUUCUCCUAUGGGUUAGAUAUUUUUCUAUAACAUGAUUUUUUCAUGGUUAUGUAGUAUUUCAUCAUAUAGCUAAUUUGUUUUAACCAGCUUCUUUAUUGUUGUACAUUUACUACCAAUAAUAAGUAAUUCUGUGGUCAAUAUCUUUGCACAUAUUUCUAAUUAUGGUCCUGAAAUAAUUCCUGGCCAUGGAAUUGUUUGGCCAAGUGCUUAUCAAAAAGGGUUAAUGCUAGAAUUACUAAUAAAUAAUGAUAUCUCAAGUACUACUAAACAUUGGUCCAAUGGGAGGUAAUUCCUCCGGAGAGAGCUCUUGAAAACAAAAAUGCAACACUUACAGCCUUUCAAUAAUGCAUUUUAAGGGUGCCUGGGUGGCUCAGUGGGUUAAGUGACCAAUUCUGGAUUCCGUCUCAGGUCAUGA